GCUAGCUACAGGCUUAACACAUGCAAGUCGAGGGGCAGCAUGGUCUUAGCUUGCUAAGGCCGAUGGCGACCGGCGCACGGGUGAGUAACGCGUAUCCAACCUGCCUUACACUCUUGGACAGCCUUCUGAAAGGGAGAUUAAUACAAGAUGUUAUCAUGAGUAAGCAUUUUCGCAUGAUUAAAGGUUUACCGGUGUAAGAUGGGGAUGCGUUCCAUUAGAUAGUAGGCGGGGUAACGGCCCACCUAGUCUUCGAUGGAUAGGGGUUCUGAGAGGAAGGUCCCCCACAUUGGAACUGAGACACGGUCCAAACUCCUACGGGAGGCAGCAGUGAGGAAUAUUGGUCAAUGGACGAGAGUCUGAACCAGCCAAGUAGCGUGAAGGAUGAAGGUUCUAUGGAUUGUAAACUUCUUUUAUACGGGAAUAAACGGAUCCACGUGUGGAUUUUUGCAUGUACCGUAUGAAUAAGGAUCGGCUAACUCCGUGCCAGCAGCCGCGGUAAUACGGAGGAUCCGAGCGUUAUCCGGAUUUAUUGGGUUUAAAGGGAGCGUAGAUGGGUUGUUAAGUCAGUUGUGAAAGUUUGCGGCUCAACCGUAAAAUUGCAAUUGAUACUGGCAGUCUUGAGUACAGUUGAGGUAGGCGGAAUUCGUGGUGUAGCGGUGAAAUGCUUAGAUAUCACGAAGAACUCCGAUUGCGAAGGCAGCUUACUAACCUGUAACUGACAUUGAUGCUCGAAAGUGUGGGUAUCAAACAGGAUUAGAUACCCUGGUAGUCCACACGGUAAACGAUGAAUACUCGCUGUAGGCGAUAUACAGUCUGCGGCCAAGCGAAAGCAUUAAGUAUUCCACCUGGGGAGUACGCCGGCAACGGUGAAACUCAAAGGAAUUGACGGGGGCCCGCACAAGCGGAGGAACAUGUGGUUUAAUUCGAUGAUACGCGAGGAACCUUACCCGGGCUUAAAUUGCAACCGAAUAUGGCGGAAACGCUAUAGCUAGCAAUAGCGGUUGUGAAGGUGCUGCAUGGUUGUCGUCAGCUCGUGCCGUGAGGUGUCGGCUUAAGUGCCAUAACGAGCGCAACCCUUGCCGAUAGUUACUAACAGGUUAUGCUGAGGACUCUGUCGGGACUGCCAUCGUAAGAUGUGAGGAAGGUGGGGAUGACGUCAAAUCAGCACGGCCCUUACGUCCGGGGCUACACACGUGUUACAAUGGGGGGUACAGAGGGCUGCUACCACGCAAGUGGAUGCCAAUCCCAAAAACCUCUCUCAGUUCGGAUUGAAGUCUGCAACCCGACUUCAUGAAGCUGGAUUCGCUAGUAAUCGCGCAUCAGCCACGGCGCGGUGAAUACGUUCCCGGGCCUUGUACACACCGCCCGUCAAGCCAUGGGAGCCGGGGGUACCUGAAGUGCGUAACCGCAAGGAGCGCCCUAGGGUAAAACUGGUGAAAGG
Molecule: ribosomal RNA, 1441 nt
Filed under: uncultured organism
Description: SSU rRNA
Rfam family: Bacterial small subunit ribosomal RNA
Source: RNAcentral